GCGAAAUCCUGGCCCACAACCGCGGUAAAGCGUGGUGGGCAAGGGGUACUCAGGAUGGAUGAGCGUAGAGGGAGGGGAGGGCGAUUGUUAAGGCAGGUGAGAAAUCCUACAGCUUAACUGUAGAACUGCACUUGAAACUGUCAACCUAUAGUAUGGAAGGGGCAGAUGGAAUUAGUGGUGUAGAGGUAAAAUCCGUAGAGAUCAGAAGGAAUACCGAUUGCGAAGGCGAUCUACUGGAACAUUAUUGACGCUCAGAUGCGAAAGCGUGGGGAGCAAACAGGAUUAGAUACCCGGGUAGUC
RNAcentral lists this ribosomal RNA (300 nucleotides) under uncultured bacterium. RNAcentral describes it as "bacterial SSU rRNA". It matches the Rfam family "Bacterial small subunit ribosomal RNA", at positions 495 to 795 of the family's 1533-position model. The record is from RNAcentral.